This 72-nucleotide transfer RNA is filed under the name Marmota marmota marmota (Alpine marmot). It matches the Rfam family "tRNA". From Rfam's summary of the family: Transfer RNA (tRNA) molecules are approximately 80 nucleotides in length. The record is from Rfam by way of RNAcentral. RNAcentral also lists the same sequence under 2 other names. Lineage: Eukaryota; Metazoa; Chordata; Mammalia; Rodentia; Sciuridae.
AGGGAUGUGGCUCAGUAAUAGAGCAAUUUCCUGGUAUGUAUGAGGCCCUGGGUUUGAUCCCUAGCACCUCAA